AUCCAGAGAUUCAUUUUCCAUCAUGUGCUUGGUCGGGGAAGUUUUGGAAAGGUGGUGCUGGCAGAGGACAAGUAUACCCACCAGCAAUUUGCCGUAAAAGUCAUCACAAAGCGAGACCUGCUUGCUGAAGGAGAAGAGCGCGCAAUGGUGGAGCGGCGAGUGUUACAACUUGCAUCUGGCUGCCCCUUCCUUCUUCAUGGCACAUUUGCAUUCCAGACCAAGCUGGCACUACCUAUGACAAUACUGGACAAACCCUGGGGACCAGGCAAUGUGCCUAAAACAUUUGGGGCUGACUUUGGGUUAUUGAAGUCUAUGGAACAUCUUACUUGCGCCUGGAGUGGUCCAACUGGGUCCUAAAAUCUACUACUGUCCUCCCCUUCCCUAUGGAUGUAGUUCUUAAUGAGUGCUU
This is a long non-coding RNA of Bufo bufo (common toad), 409 nucleotides long. RefSeq lists it as uncharacterized. NCBI's taxonomy places the organism in Eukaryota, Metazoa, Chordata, Amphibia, Anura, Bufonidae. The record is from RefSeq and is a predicted model, not a curated record. The transcript is spliced from 3 exons.